RNAcentral lists this ribosomal RNA (451 nucleotides) under uncultured bacterium. RNAcentral's name for it is "partial 16S ribosomal RNA". It matches the Rfam family "Bacterial small subunit ribosomal RNA", at positions 354 to 796 of the family's 1533-position model. The record is from RNAcentral.
GUGGGGAAUAUUGGACAAUGGGGGGAACCCUGAUCCAGCCAUGUCGCGUGUGUGAAGAAGGCCUUUUGGUUGUAAAGCACUUUAAGCGAGGAGGAGGCUACCGAGAUUAAUACUCUUGGAUAGUGGACGUUACUCGCAGAAUAAGCACCGGCUAACUCUGUGCCAGCAGCCGCGGUAAUACAGAGGGUGCAAGCGUUAAUCGGAUUUACUGGGCGUAAAGCGCGCGUAGGUGGCCAAUUAAGUCAAAUGUGAAAUCCCCGAGCUUAACUUGGGAAUUGCAUUCGAUACUGGUUGGCUAGAGUAUGGGAGAGGAUGGUAGAAUUCCAGGUGUAGCGGUGAAAUGCGUAGAGAUCUGGAGGAAUACCGAUGGCGAAGGCAGCCAUCUGGCCUAAUACUGACACUGAGGUGCGAAAGCAUGGGGAGCAAACAGGAUUAGAAACCCUGGUAGUCC